CGGAGCUUGCUCCACCGGAAAAAGAAGAGUGGCGAACGGGUGAGUAACACGUGGGUAACCUGCCCWUCAGAAGGGGAUAACACUUGGAAACAGGUGCUAAUACCGUAUAACAAUCGAAACCGCAUGGUUUUGAUUUGAAAGGCGCUUUCGGGUGUCGCUGAUGGAUGGACCCGCGGUGCAUUAGCUAGUUGGUGAGGUAACGGCUCACCAAGGCCACGAUGCAUAGCCGACCUGAGAGGGUGAUCGGCCACAUUGGGACUGAGACACGGCCCAAACUCCUACGGGAGGCAGCAGUAGGGAAUCUUCGGCAAUGGACGAAAGUCUGACCGAGCAACGCCGCGUGAGUGAAGAAGGUUUUCGGAUCGUAAAACUCUGUUGUUAGAGAAGAACAAGGAUGAGAGUAACUGUUCAUCCCUUGACGGUAUCUAACCAGAAAGCCACGGCUAACUACGUGCCAGCAGCCGCGGUAAUACGUAGGUGGCAAGCGUUGUCCGGAUUUAUUGGGCGUAAAGCGAGCGCAGGCGGUUUCUUAAGUCUGAUGUGAAAGCCCCCGGCUCAACCGGGGAGGGUCAUUGGAAACUGGGAGACUUGAGUGCAGAAGAGGAGAGUGGAAUUCCAUGUGUAGCGGUGAARUGCGUAGAUAUAUGGAGGAACACCAGUGGCGAAGGCGKCUCUCUGGUCUGUAACUGACGCUGAGGCUCGAAAGCGUGKGGAGCAAACAGGAUUAGAUACCCUGGUAGUCCACGCCGUAAACGAUGAGUGCUAAGUGUUGGAGGGUUUCCGCCCUUCAGUGCUGCAGCUAACGCAUUAAGCACUCCGCCUGGGGAGUACGACCGCAAGAUUGAAACUCAAAAGAGUUGACGGGGACCCGCACAAGCGGUGGAGCAUGUGUUUCACUUCGAAGCAACGCGAAGAACCUUACCAGGUCUUGACAUCCUUUGACCACUCUAGAGAUAGAGCUUCCCCUUCGGGGGCAAAGUGACAGGUGGUGCAUGGUUGUCGUCAGCUCGUGUCGUGAGAUGUUGGGUUAAGUCCCGCAACGAGCGCAACCCUUAUUGUUAGUUGCCAUCAUUUAGUUGGGCACUCUAGCAAGACUGACCGGUGACAAACCGGAGGAAGGUGGGGAUGACGUCAAAUCAUCAUGCCCCUUAUGACCUGGGCUACACACGUGCUACAAUGGGAAGUACAACGAGUCGCGAAGUCGCGAGGCUAAGCUAAUCUCUUAAAGCUUCUCUCAGUUCGGAUUGUAGGCUGCAACUCGCCUACAUGAAGCCGGAAUCGCUAGUAAUCGCGGAUCAGCACGCCGCGGUGAAUACGUUCCCGGGCCUUGUACACACCGCCCGUCACACCACGAGA
RNAcentral lists this ribosomal RNA (1356 nucleotides) under Enterococcus durans. RNAcentral's name for it is "bacterial SSU rRNA". The record is from RNAcentral. Lineage: Bacteria; Bacillati; Bacillota; Bacilli; Lactobacillales; Enterococcaceae.